UCAGUGUCCUAUCAUAGGGCGCGACAGCUGUCGUGACCUGGCGUGUGACCGUGCAUAUCGUGUGACUGAGUGAUUUGGGUGUGGUUUUGGCGUGUGGGAAUAGGGGAACGUGCCCGAGGUUGGUUGGCCCGACACGGUGUAUUGCAUGGGAGGCUGGAGUACGGGUGAUCAGAGAGAGGAUAUAGGUCGCGUCUGAGAGCGGCUAGAGCCGUCUCUCAUUCCGAUCCUAGGCGAGCUAGUCUUUGACCGUUCUAUUGAGGGACCCGUCCUAGUGGACGUUAAACUCUGAGGCAACAUGUAAGCCGGAACGUGAUCGUCUUGCGCCACCCUCUCGCUCGCUACACAUGCGCUCCCGGCCGCCUAC
This 364-nucleotide long non-coding RNA is filed under the name Chlamydomonas reinhardtii. RNAcentral's name for it is "long non-coding RNA (CREI_LNC000859)". The record is from RNAcentral. Lineage: Eukaryota; Viridiplantae; Chlorophyta; Chlorophyceae; Chlamydomonadales; Chlamydomonadaceae.